AUGGCGUGUCUGGCGCCGCACUUCAAGUGGGCCCCGUCUUCGUUCUCCACCACCCACGCGUACCAGCACCCUUCCUCGUCGUCCUCAUCCUCCAACUCAGGCAGGUGCUCCGGCCGCCGCCCCUUCCGUGUCCAGUGCGCUGUCACUUCUGCUGCUGCAGCAGUCGUCGACGCUGACCACGCGGCUGGUGGGCCGCUCCACCUCGUUUACUCGUCUCCGGACUCGGCGCCGGUUCUCCAGAGAAAUUUUGAGUCAACUCUGGCAUCAGAAACAGUUCUGAACAAAGAGGCUGUUGUAACUGCUGCAGCUGCAGAGGCAGUUGCCCUUGCAAGAGCAGCAGCUGAAGCUGCCCAAGAAGUUGUUCACAUGGUACAGAAGAGUAGUUCCCAGCCCGUGUUCAGAAAAAAAGGGGAAGUGGAAAAUUACUUGGCGAAAGAAAUCCUUCGCACAGAAAUGUUAUCGAGCAGGGCAAAUGAAUAUAGUGAUGGUGAACCAUAUGGCAUUCCGAGUGAUGAAGCAGAACUAGAUGAUGAUACACAGGACGCUGAUAACAUAGCUGUUAAGUCUGCACGUCAAUCCGAGAGAAGAGCUCGGAGAACAAGAGCAACAAUGAAGGCAGCUACAAUAGUCCGUAGUUCCCCAAAACUAGCAGCGUCAUCGAAGAAGAAGCGAUCCAAGGGUCCAUCGACCAUGAAUCCUUUAGGUUCCUUAUGGAAGAUGACUGGCCGAAAACUUCUUACAGCAAAGGAAGAGGUUGAGCUCUCGAAUGGUAUUCAGGAUCUCUUGAAGCUGGAGGCAAUUCAAGGUGAGCUUGCAGAGUACAAUGGUGGUCAACCAACCUUCCCACAGUGGGCAGCUGCAGCUGGAACUGAUGAGAACACUUUGCGGAAACGUCUUGAUCAUGGUAUUCAUUGCAAAAACAGAAUGGUAACAUCUAAUGUGCGACUUGUAAUCUCUAUUGCCAGAGAAUUUGAAGGUCCAGGGUUGGAGCUUUAUGAUCUUAUUCAGGAAGGAAUGCAGGGCCUUAUAAGAGGUGCUGAAAAGUUUGAUGCAUCAAAGGGUUUUCGGUUCUCUACAUAUUCUCACUGGUGGAUCAAACAAGCUAUGCGAAAAUCUGUCUCUGAGCAAACCCAGAUAUUUCGCUUACCAUUCAUUUGCUUCAACUUACCAGACAGUAGGCAUGGAUCUUACCAGACGGCUCACAUGGUUGAGGCAAGUUAUCGUGUGAAGGAGUGCACAAAACGACUUCGCCGUAAACUUAAAAGGCGACCCUCUAAUGAGGAAAUAGCAGUGGACACUGGUAUGCCAGUCAAACGUGUCGAAGCAGCAGUGAACCUCCCGAAGUAUAGUGUAUCCCUUGAUAGCAAAAUUGGAAGCACAGACAUGACCUACCAGGAGGUCACAGCUGAUCCCAGCGCCGAGACAGCUGAAGAAAUGCUGAAUAGAAUGUCAAUGAAGAAAGAUGUGCAUCAGGCACUGGAUACUCUGAGCCCACGUGAGAGACAAGUUGUCAAGCUUAGGUUUGGAAUCGAUGAUGGUAGGAUAAGAACUUUGCAGGAGAUUGGCAACAUCAUGGGUGUCAGCAGGGAGAGGAUUCGGCAGAUCGAAUCGGGUGCAUUUCGGAAACUGAGAGGCAAGAAAAAGGUGAAGUGUUUGAUGGAUUAUCUGGUGCCUGUAGGCAAUUGGUGA
RNAcentral lists this ribosomal RNA (1689 nucleotides) under Triticum aestivum (bread wheat). RNAcentral describes it as "partial small subunit ribosomal RNA". The record is from RNAcentral. Lineage: Eukaryota; Viridiplantae; Streptophyta; Magnoliopsida; Poales; Poaceae.